UCCCUACUAGCUCAGUCAGUAAAGAAUCUGCCUUCAAUGCAGGAGACCCAGAUUUGAUCCCUGGGUUGGGAA
RNAcentral lists this transfer RNA (72 nucleotides) under Ovis aries (sheep). It matches the Rfam family "tRNA". Rfam says of the family: Transfer RNA (tRNA) molecules are approximately 80 nucleotides in length. Lineage: Eukaryota; Metazoa; Chordata; Mammalia; Artiodactyla; Bovidae. The record is from Rfam by way of RNAcentral.